AUUCCAGUUGAAGAACAUUCCUAGAGGGCUAGUGGGUUUCACUAUGCUGGUGUUUUGGUGAUGUCCCCUGGGCAGAUAAGCUGCUUUUCCUGUCUGCCUGAUGAGCCUAAAAACCACCCAUCCAGGGCAGUAGUCACCUCUUCACGGGCACGUCGCCGGUCUGCUCGUCCACGUAAUCCCGCUUCAGCUCCUCAGGGACGUCGCUGUCACUGUCAUAGUCCUGAUAGGCGCUCUUCUCUUGCUCAUCAGACUCAUACUGAGGAAACAUGGUGGGAUAUGCAACAUGGGGCAUACCAGGUCUCAACACACAAAGGAAAAACUUACAUGAAGCUGCAAGAUGCUAAAAUUUGACUUAACAGGGCAAAGCUCCCAUGUCUCAUUCUCUAAGAACAUUCUCAGUUCAUCAAGUCGUAUCCUGAGGAAAAGAAAAUGAACAGUCGAAAGGAAGAAAGGGGCAGGGAACGCAUAAACUCAGGAAACAAAAUUAUCAUCAUCAUAAUCACAACUCAUUCAGAUUAGCACAAUAAACUACACACGCUGGCUUCUGUUA
This is a long non-coding RNA of Mus musculus (house mouse), 550 nucleotides long. RefSeq annotates it as predicted gene, 52885. The transcript is spliced from 3 exons. Lineage: Eukaryota; Metazoa; Chordata; Mammalia; Rodentia; Muridae. The record is from RefSeq and is marked validated.